CCUACGGGAGGCUGCAGUGAGGAAUAUUGGUCAAUGGACGAGAGCCUGAACCAGCCAAGUAGCGUGAGGGAUGACGGCCCUAUGGGUUGUAAACUUCUUUUAUAUGGGAGUAAAAUGUUCCACGUGUGGGUUUUCGUGUGUACCCUAUGAAAAAGGAUCGGCUAACUCCGUGCCAGCAGCCGCGGUAAUACGGAGGAUCCGAGCGUUAUCCGGAUUUAUUGGGUUUAAAGGGAGCGUAGGCGGAUUGUUAAGUCAGUUGUGAAAGUUGGCGGCUCAACCGUAAAAGUGCAGUUGAAACUGGUAGUCUUGAGUGCAGGAGAGGUAGGCGGAAUGCGUGGUGUAGCGGUGAAAUGCUUAGAUAUCACGAAGAACUCCGAUUGCGAAGGCAGCUUACUGGACUGCAACUGACACUGAUGCUCGAAAGUGUGGGUAUCAAACAGGAUUAGAUACCCCGGUAGUC
Molecule: ribosomal RNA, 460 nt
Filed under: uncultured bacterium
Lineage: Bacteria
Description: partial 16S ribosomal RNA
Rfam family: Bacterial small subunit ribosomal RNA
Source: RNAcentral